CGUAGGGGCGAAGCGUUGUCCGGAGUUUAUUGGGCGUAAAGCGCGCGCAGGCGGCGCUUUAAGUUGGGGUUAAAGGGACAGUGGCUCAACCAUUGUACGCCUCCAAAACUAGGAGCGCUUGAGUGCAGGAGAGGAAAGCGGAAUUCCCGGUGUAGCGGUGGAAUGCGUAGAGAUCGGGAGGAACACCAGUGGCGAAGGCGGCUUUCUGGCCUGUAACUGACGCUGAGGCGCGAAAAGCGUGGGGAGCAAACAGGAUU
This 257-nucleotide ribosomal RNA is filed under the name uncultured bacterium. RNAcentral describes it as "partial 16S ribosomal RNA". It matches the Rfam family "Bacterial small subunit ribosomal RNA", at positions 526 to 779 of the family's 1533-position model. The record is from RNAcentral.